This is a long non-coding RNA of Equus caballus (horse), 2168 nucleotides long. The record is from Ensembl. NCBI's taxonomy places the organism in Eukaryota, Metazoa, Chordata, Mammalia, Perissodactyla, Equidae.
UGCUCACUGCAGGCAGAGCCAGCCACCAUACUGUGAGGAUGUAUUAACCACGUCUAUUCUUUCUGUAUUUUGCUACUUUGACCUCUGGGGUCUUGCUGACCCUGGAGGGACUGCACCUCCUAGGGUUAGCCAAUUCCUAGAGAAAAUAAGCAGCUUGUCUGUGAGCACACCUCUCAAAUGCAAUGCAACCAGUCCAGAGCCCACAUCCACAACCACCUCCUUCAUGCAGCUCUCACACUCCUGGACCACUAUCCGCCUGCCCUAAUCAUCCCAGGGCUGGGUACUAGACAAGCAGGGACAGCAACUGUGCCCCAAAGUCUGCUGAAAUAAUUCAAAUGAGCCAAUCCUAAGACUGCUCAGCCUGCCUAGCCUGUUCUUCUCUGUGAAAACCACAGGAAAGGCUCUUGCUCACAUUUUCCCUCCACUCCCUGCUCUGCCUCCUGGCUGACCCCGCUGCUUCCCCGUGGAGUGGACGUGACCCCUCUUCUUGAGAUCCACAACCUUCAAGAGUCCUGUGGAGAAGCCGAGAUGAGGAGGAACUAAGGCGUCCGUCCCACCAGCCUUGAGCCAGCUACACCAGUCAGAACGGAAAUAGAGACCCAGAGAAGGUGUGGGGAAAGCAGAAGGAGGAGGCACCGGCCUUGCAGGUGGGUUGAGGCCAGGUGAAGGGCCUUGGGCUGGACACACAGAUCAAAUCACCUGAGUGAGUCUUGCCCUAGAACCAGUGUUCCCUCACCCCAUUCUCCCUCCUGAGGAUGGGUGAUGUAACUCCUGGCACAUCUGCCUCUCUCCUACCUGGCCGGUUUUGGUCAGGGGGUGUAACCCAACUGCCUCCACAAGCAUCCCAACCAGUGGACCCAUUGGAACAGGCUGUGGGCACAUUGGUCAGCUGAUGGCUGCUGAGUGGAAGGCAGGGCAUGCCUAACCUCUGCCCCAACUAAGACGAGGGAAGGCUGUUUUUUCCAUGGUAGGUAGUGUUGCCAAAAACAUUUGGCCUCCUUUAUCCAGAUGUGGGAUAACCCCACACAUCGUCAGAGAUGCAAGGAGACGAAAAGUCCACUCCUUCAUUUCGUGGCUGUGGAAGUCCAAGUUCACUUUGAAGUGACUUGGCCAGGGUCGCACAGGCAAAACCAGAGCUAAAACUGAGUCUUAAGUCUCUUACUUCAGUGUUCUUUCUUAUUACACCUUGUAGAAAAAGAGUCUAUGUCAUAUUCUAUGCCAGACCUAUAACCUCGUUUUUCCAAAACACGGAAUUGCUGGCUGAACUGUUCUGACAGUCCUUCGUGUCCAUUUGAAAAUACAGACUUGACAUCAAGACAUUUGUUUUCAGUGUUGUGUAAUUAGACUUUUAAACCCCACCCUUAAAACGUUUUAUCUGGUAUUUACCAAAACAGACCAAAAGUCCAGCUAAUAAUGUUGUCAGCCACUUUUGCUGCUCUCUAAUAAAUUACGUAGAAAAUUACUGAGUGAUGUUUUCCAAGUGACAGCAAAAAUUAGGGACUUCAACUCUCCAGUUCAAGAGUUCAUUGGACUCAUCACUUCAGAGAGAGUAUAAAUAAGCUUCCCAAGAUGAUCAUUCUAAAAUAACUCUUCUUUCUACCAGGUGACUUGUAGAACUGACUUUGUACUUGACACAGAGCCACAUGACUGGUGCGAUGGGCUGAGCGGUGCUGGGAGAAUAUCCCAAGUCUUGCUUUCUUUUUUUUUUUUUAAAGAUUUUACUUUUCCUUUUUCUCCCAAAGCCCCCCAGUACAUAGUUGUGUAUUUUUUGUUGUGGGUCCUUCUAGUUGUGGCAUGUGGGAUGCCGCCUCAGUGUGGUUUGACAAGCGGUGCCAUGUCCGCGCCCAGGAUUUGAACCAGUGAAACCCUGGGCCGCCGAAGCAGAGCACUCAAACUUAACCACUCCUCCACGGGGCUGGCCCCUCAAGUUUUGCUUUCUUAGAUGACUUUUGCUCUUGAUUUCUUGGUUUGUUUGAAGAGGUCAAAGGGGAGCCUCUUAUGCCAACUGAGUGGGUCUCUUUAUCAUCAUUUUCUACAGCUUUCCUUUAUAAGAUCCAUUAUGACUUUGGAAAUGUAGUGACAUUGUCUUAGGGACUCUAAUAAAGACAAAAUCUGGUAAGGUGGCUCUAGGGGAGUGUGUGUGUGUGUCUGUGUGUGUGUGUUGGGGG